UACGGGGGGAGCAAGCGUUGUUCGGAUUUACUGGGCGUAAAGGGCGCGUAGGCGGCCAGCGCAAGUCAGUUGUGAAAUCUCCGGGCUUAACUCGGAAAGGUCAACUGAUACUGCGCGGCUAGAGUGCGGAAGGGGCAACUGGAAUUCUCGGUGUAGCGGUGAAAUGCGUAGAUAUCGAGAGGAACACCUGCGGCGAAGGCGGGUUGCUGGGCCGACACUGACGCUGAUGCGCGAAAGCCAGGGGAGCGAA
RNAcentral lists this ribosomal RNA (250 nucleotides) under uncultured bacterium. Its description in RNAcentral is "partial 16S ribosomal RNA". It matches the Rfam family "Bacterial small subunit ribosomal RNA", at positions 524 to 772 of the family's 1533-position model. The record is from RNAcentral.